AAACGUAGGAGGCAAGCGUUAUCCGAAUUUACUGGGCGUAAAGCGCGUGCAGGCGGCUCGAUAAGUUGGAUGUGAAAGCUCCCGGCUCAACUGGGAGAGGCCGUUCAAUACUGUCGGGCUAGAGGAUGGUAGAGGGAGGUGGAAUUCCCGGUGUAGUGGUGAAAUGCGUAGAUAUCGGGAGGAACACCAGUGGCGAAGGCGGCCUCCUGGCCCAUUCCUGACGCUCAGACGCGAAAGCUAGGGGAGCGAACGGGAUUAGAAACCCCGGUAGUCCUAGCUGUAAACGAUGUGGACUUGGCGUUGGUGGGGUAAAAUCCAUCAGUGCCGUAGCAAACGCGGUAAGUCCACCGCCUGGGGAUUACGACCGCAAGGUUAAA
Molecule: ribosomal RNA, 377 nt
Filed under: uncultured bacterium
Lineage: Bacteria
Description: bacterial SSU rRNA
Rfam family: Bacterial small subunit ribosomal RNA
Source: RNAcentral